ACUCUCUUAGUAUUAUUAGUACAAUUGACUUCCAAUCAAUUAGACUCGGUAUUAACCCGAGAGGGAGUA
RNAcentral lists this transfer RNA (69 nucleotides) under Crocidura gueldenstaedtii (Guldenstadt's white-toothed shrew). RNAcentral's name for it is "Crocidura suaveolens gueldenstaedtii tRNA-Gly". It matches the Rfam family "tRNA". Rfam says of the family: Transfer RNA (tRNA) molecules are approximately 80 nucleotides in length. Their secondary structure includes four short double-helical elements and three loops (D, anti-codon, and T loops). RNAcentral also lists the same sequence under 1 other name. Lineage: Eukaryota; Metazoa; Chordata; Mammalia; Eulipotyphla; Soricidae. The record is from RNAcentral.